Molecule: ribosomal RNA, 456 nt
Filed under: uncultured bacterium
Lineage: Bacteria
Description: bacterial SSU rRNA
Rfam family: Bacterial small subunit ribosomal RNA
Source: RNAcentral
AAUGAACGCUGGCGGCGUGCUUUACACAUGCAAGUCGAGCGAGGCGUCCUGCAAGGGGCAGUCGAGCGGCGAACGGGUGAGUAACGCGUGGAUUAUCUGCCCUGAGGUGGGGGAUAACCCGGGGAAACUCGGGCUAAUACCGCAUAUGACCGGGAGGUCAAAGGGGGGUCGCAAGAUCUCUCGCCUUUGGAGGAGUCCGCGUUCGAUUAGCUAGUUGGUAGGGUAAUGGCCUACCAAGGCGACGAUCGGUAGCCGGCCUGAGAGGGUGAUCGGCCACACUGGAACUGAGACACGGUCCAGACUCCUACGGGAGGCAGCAGUGGGGAAUUUUGCGCAAUGGGCUAACGCCUGACGCAGCAACGCCGCGUGGAGGAUGAAGGGUCUUUGGGAUUGUAAACUCCUGUCAGCAGGGAAAAGCGACUUGACCUCACACGUCAGGGAGUUGAUUGUACCUGC